This 377-nucleotide ribosomal RNA is filed under the name uncultured eukaryote. RNAcentral's name for it is "partial 18S ribosomal RNA". It matches the Rfam family "Eukaryotic small subunit ribosomal RNA", at positions 592 to 976 of the family's 1831-position model. The record is from RNAcentral.
CAAUAGCGUAUAUUUCAGUUGCUGCAGUUAAAAAGCUCGUAGUUGGAUUUCGGGUGGGAAUGGCCGGUCCGCCGUUUCGGUGUGCACUUGCUACGCCCACCUUGCUGCCGGGGACGUGCUCUUGAGUUCACGCUCGGGACACGGAGUCGGCGAGGUUACUUUGAGUAAAUUAGAGUGUUCAAAGCAGGCCUACGCUCUGAAUACAUUAGCAUGGAAUAACACGAUAGGACUCUGGCCUAUCUUGUUGGUCUGUAGGACCGGAGUAAUGAUUAAGAGGGACAGUCGGGGGCAUUCGUAUUUCAUUGUCAGAGGUGAAAUUCUUGGAUUUAUGAAAGACGAACUACUGCGAAAGCAUUUGCCAAGGAUGUUUUCAUUAA